RNAcentral lists this ribosomal RNA (256 nucleotides) under uncultured bacterium. RNAcentral's name for it is "partial 16S ribosomal RNA". It matches the Rfam family "Bacterial small subunit ribosomal RNA", at positions 524 to 776 of the family's 1533-position model. The record is from RNAcentral.
GACGUAGGUGGCGAACGUUAUCCGGAAUUAUUGGGCGUAAAGGGUGCGUAGGCGGCAUGAUAAGUUAUUGGCGGCAAAUCGAGGCUCAACCUCGUGGAAACUAAUAAUACUGUCUUGCUUGAGUGCAGAAGAGGUUAACGGAACUCCAUGUGGAGCGGUAAAAUGUGUAGAUAUAUGGAAGAACAUCAAUAACGGCGAAGGCAGUUAACUAUUCUGUUACUGACGUUGAGGCACGAAAGCGUGGGGAGCAAACAGG